UACGUAGGGGGCGAGCGUUGUCCGGAGUUACUGGGCGUAAAGGGCAUGUAGGCGGUCGGACGCGUUUUGUGUGACAGCGGGUGGCUCAACUACCCGAGCAUGCGAAAGACGGUCGGACUUGAGGACUCGAGAGGGACACGGAAUUCCGGGUGGAGUGGUGAAAUGCGUAGAGAUCCGGAGGAACACCGAAGGCGAAGGCAGUGUCCUGGCGAGUGACUGACGCUGAGGUGCGAAAGCCAGGGGAGCGAACGGG
This 253-nucleotide ribosomal RNA is filed under the name uncultured bacterium. RNAcentral's name for it is "partial 16S ribosomal RNA". It matches the Rfam family "Bacterial small subunit ribosomal RNA", at positions 524 to 776 of the family's 1533-position model. The record is from RNAcentral.